Non-coding RNA from Pimephales promelas (fathead minnow), 189 nucleotides. The record is from RefSeq and is a predicted model, not a curated record. Lineage: Eukaryota; Metazoa; Chordata; Actinopteri; Cypriniformes; Leuciscidae.
GUCUUUUCCCAUUAAAGUCAAAGCCUGUCCAGGAGAUUAUUAUGUCUAUGAGUUGGUUAGACCAACUUUCUGCAAUCUUGCAUACUGUGCAGACACUGGCAGCAUUAACACCAGCCCUACAACUGUCACACCAGUGACCAUCUCACCUGACCCCUGCAACAACUACACUGAGCUGGACAAUCCAUGGAG